CCUACGGGAGGCAGCAGUGAGGAAUAUUGGUCAAUGGGCGCGAGCCUGAACCAGCCAAGUAGCGUGAAGGAUGACUGCCCUACGGGUUGUAAACUUCUUUUAUAAAGGAAUAAAGUUAGGCACGUGAGCCUUUUUGUAUGUACUUUAUGAUUAAGGAUAGGCUCACUCCGUGCCAUCAGCCGCGGUAAUGCGGAGGAUCCGAGCGUUAUCCGGAUUUAUUGGGUUUAAAGGGAGCGUAGAUGGGUUGUUAAGUCAGUUGUGAAAGUUUGCGGCUCAACCGUACAAUUGCAAUUGAUACUGGCAGUCGUGAGUACAGGUGAGGUAGGCGGAAUUCGUGGUGUAGCGGUGAAAUGCUGAGAUAUCACGAAGAACUCCGAUUGCGAAGGCAGCUUACUAAACUGCCACUGACAUUGAUGCUCGAAAGUGUGGGUAUCAAACAGGAUUAGAUACCCUUGUAGUC
RNAcentral lists this ribosomal RNA (460 nucleotides) under uncultured bacterium. RNAcentral's name for it is "partial 16S ribosomal RNA". It matches the Rfam family "Bacterial small subunit ribosomal RNA", at positions 338 to 795 of the family's 1533-position model. The record is from RNAcentral.